CUGAUGAGUUGUUGCUGGUUCUCUAGGGAGCAUGUGCACACUUGUCAUCUUUAUAUCUCCACCUGUGCACCUUUUGUAGAUCUGGAUAGCUUUCUGAAUGCCUAGCAUUUGGGUUUGAAGAUUGACUUUUCUGUCUUUCUUUACAUUUUCAGGUCUAUGUUCCUCCAUAUACCCCAAUGUAUGUUAUAGAAUGUAAUAAAUGGGCCUUUGUGCCUAUAAAUUUAUACAACUUUCAGCAACGGAUCUCUUGGUUCUCGCAUCGAUGAAGAACGCAGCGAAAUGCGAUAAGUAAUGUGAAUUGCAGAAUUCAGUGAAUCAUCGAAUCUUUGAACGCACCUUGCGCUCCUUGGUAUUCCGAGGAGCAUGCCUGUUUGAGUGUCAUUAAUAUAUCAACCUCUUCAGCUUUGCUUGUUGAGUGUUGGAUGUGGGGGGGUAUUCUUUUGCUGGUCUCUUUUUUUGAGUUCAGCUCCCCUAAAAUAUAUUAGCGGGACAAUUUGUUGACCGUUCAUUGGUGUGAUAACUAUCUACGCUUUUGACGUGAGGCAGAGUUCAGCUCAUAACAGUCCAUUGACUUGGACAAAUUUUUCAUUAAUGUGACCUCAAAUCAGGUAGGACUACCCGCUGAACUUAAGCAUAUC
RNAcentral lists this ribosomal RNA (638 nucleotides) under Cortinarius sp. YM2253. RNAcentral's name for it is "eukaryotic LSU rRNA". The stretch from base 228 to 381 matches the Rfam family "5.8S ribosomal RNA". Lineage: Eukaryota; Fungi; Basidiomycota; Agaricomycetes; Agaricales; Cortinariaceae. The record is from RNAcentral.